This is a long non-coding RNA of Notothenia coriiceps (black rockcod), 2224 nucleotides long. RefSeq lists it as uncharacterized. The transcript is spliced from 2 exons. The record is from RefSeq and is a predicted model, not a curated record. Lineage: Eukaryota; Metazoa; Chordata; Actinopteri; Perciformes; Nototheniidae.
AAAAUGCUAUUUUUGAGAUUUCUCCGGCAGAGACUGUCGGCGUUUUCGAGGUUAAGGCCAAGUUCAUGGGCGUGCACUUGGAGACGUUACAGUUGGAAUAUCAGGAUCUCCUCCAGCUGCAGUAUGAAGGUGUGGCGGUGAUGAAGCUCUUCGACAGAGCCACCAUCAAUGUCAACCUGCUCAUUUUCCUUCUCAACAAGAAAUUUUACGGGAAAUAGAAAGAGGAUAAAAGGGCUACGGACACUGAUUCAAACCACAAGGCCCGCUUUGAGGGUUGCAGAAAGCCCUGACCUGAACCACCCUGCUUCCUACACAUUCCCCUCUGCACUUCUCUCAUGUGCCUUAUGCAAAUGUAUGUGUAUUAUGUGGAUCACCAUAUGUGCUUUAUUCUUAAUAGAAUAGCCAGUAGGCCACAGAAGCUUGCUGGAGUCUUUUUUCUCACUGUCUUUUUGUCUGUAACUGCGUAUAGGUCAGAGGUUUAAGAUUUGUAUGUUUUGCUUUAAAUAUUAUAAAAAUCUCGUGCAUGGGCCUUGAUUAAUUAUAAAAUGUACGUUUUAUGUAAAGAGAUAACGUUUUGUGUCUUUAUUAGCUGAUAGUUUAUCCGCUCACCUGAAUGUUAAAUGCUUUCAGAAAAUCUCCUCCACCAAAACUACACAAAAGUGCUAGUUUACUUUUCAGCAGGGCUGCGGUCAGGCUGGAUUCAAAACCUUCUCUGGGCCGCUUCGUGUCUUCAAACUGCACAGAAAAAUGGAGCAGUUGUCGAGGGAAAAAACAAGAUUAGAGAUGAUUACUUCUCGUUUUAUUUAAGUGUUUUUCACAUGCUUUGAUUGGAAAAUUAUUAAACUCUUGAGAUUUGACCCACCUGAAUGCAUACUUAACACACCAAAGAAGAUCGUUAAAAUCUUAAAUUCCAUCAAAUGAAACACUCUUUGUUUUUAUAAAUGUCUUCAAUCAAUUUUUCAAACUGAGAAUUUUAAGAAUUUUCUGAUGGUGCAUUGUAAAAUUACAAAAUAUUUGGUAUUAUCUUUUUACUUAAUUGUUAUAUCAUUUAAUAAAUUUAUCUUGCAUUAAAUCCAAAGAACAUGAUAUUAAUAAUAAUAAAAACAAUAACCUAUUAAUAAUAACACAUAUUAAGUACAUUUCCCCCAAAAUAGCAAUCUGAUAAGUGAUAAAAAAAGACAUUGCAACAAAAUUAGCAUCCUGCUCAUAUCGAGUUCAAUUCUGUUUUUAUUAAAUGAAAUUUAAGAAACAACUAUAAAUUAAAAUCGGUAUGUUGAUAACACAUUUUAUACAAUUCUAAAUAUCAAACCCGUUAUUCUUAAACUGCUUUCAUAGACAGCAGUUUUAGUUAAAUUAUUGACAGUUUAAGAAACUGUUAGCUGUUAGUGAUUGGUUUCUCAUUGUGUGGUUAAUCUUUACAUUUUCUCUAAAUGUGUUGCCUGAGCAGGACAAAAUUUCACCUGACACCCCUUAGUGUUUCCUGGCACUUGCCUUGCUUUGGAGCCUUUCCUGUCUUUAUUUUUUUUUGUUGAGUCAGGCUGUUGGUUUGUUUUUGGACCUGACUGAGCAACUGCCAUGACGACAGCCCUGCUGCUCACAACUGACCUGCAGCGCAUGUCUUUCUUUAACUUCAACAUGCAUGAGCAGGAAGUGACAGGGCGCUUAGUGGAAAUAUUACUUUUUUCUUUCUCUGUCCAUCUUGUAUAACUGAAACACAGGUCAUUAUGACAUUUAAAAGUCAGUUUAGUAAUAAGCACAGCAUGUGAAAAAAUGUGUAAAACAAAUGGGUGGGAUCUAAAAGUGUUAGAUUUUUAAUAACGUCUUUUUGAAAAUAAUUUGACAAAGUUGCCCUUAUUUAUAUUUAUUUUGUCAGUCCAUAUUAUGCUAGUUGCAAAACCCUAAAACAGAUAAUGUAAUUAAGCUUGAGGAUGUGCAGUAUUACAGUCCUGUGGGUCCAGUAGAUAUCACUGGACACCAUUUAUUUCUCAGUUUAUUGUAUCAGAGUUUGACCUAUUUUAAGAGGCCUUGAAUGAGAUCCUCUUAAACAAAAUGAUGAUUUUCUGCCUUAUGUAAAGAUGCCAUGACCAGAGGUUGACACUGUUAUUGGAAAAAGAGGGGCUUUAUUCUCUCUACAUCUCUUCAAGUACUGAACAAGAUUGUGUUAAUGGACUUAAUUCAGUCCAUUAAAUGUAUAUUAUGUUUUAGAAUAAAGCUCUACAUAUAC